This 497-nucleotide ribosomal RNA is filed under the name uncultured bacterium. RNAcentral describes it as "partial 16S ribosomal RNA". It matches the Rfam family "Bacterial small subunit ribosomal RNA", at positions 28 to 507 of the family's 1533-position model. The record is from RNAcentral.
GAUGAACGCUGGCGGCGUGCCUAAUACAUGCAAGUCGAGCGAACAGACGAGGAUCUUGCUCCUCUGACGUUAGCGGCGGACGGGUGAGUAACACGUGGAUAACCUACCUAUAAGACUGGGAUAACUUCGGGAAACCGGAGCUAAUACCGGAUAAUAUAUUGAACCGCAUGGUUCAAUAGUGAAAGACGGUUUUGCUGUCACUUCUAGAUGGAUCCGCGCCGCAUUAGCUAGUUGGUAAGGUAACGGCUUACCAAGGCAACGAUGCGUAGCCGACCUGAGAGGGUGAGCGGCCACACUGGAACUGAGACACGGUCCAGACUCCUACGGGAGGCAGCAGUAGGGAAUCUUCCGCAAUGGGCGAAAGCCUGACGGAGCAACGCCGCGUGAGUGAUGAAGGUCUUCGGAUCGUAAAACUCUGUUAUUAGGGAAGAACAAAUGUGUAAGUAACUAUGCACGUCUUGACGGUACCUAAUCAGAAAGCCACGGCUAACUACGUG